RNAcentral lists this ribosomal RNA (2679 nucleotides) under Klebsiella oxytoca. RNAcentral's name for it is "bacterial LSU rRNA". It matches the Rfam family "Bacterial large subunit ribosomal RNA". Lineage: Bacteria; Pseudomonadati; Pseudomonadota; Gammaproteobacteria; Enterobacterales; Enterobacteriaceae. The record is from RNAcentral.
CGGCGAUGUCCGAAUGGGGAAACCCAGUGCAAUUCGUUGCACUAUCGUUAACUGAAUACAUAGGUUAACGAGGCGAACCGGGGGAACUGAAACAUCUAAGUACCCCGAGGAAAAGAAAUCAACCGAGAUUCCCCCAGUAGCGGCGAGCGAACGGGGAGCAGCCCAGAGUCUGAAUCAGCUUGUGUGUUAGUGGAACGGUCUGGAAAGUCCGACGGUACAGGGUGAUAGUCCCGUACACCAAAAUGCACAGGCUGUGAACUCGAAGAGUAGGGCGGGACACGUGGUAUCCUGUCUGAAUAUGGGGGGACCAUCCUCCAAGGCUAAAUACUCCUGACUGACCGAUAGUGAACCAGUACCGUGAGGGAAAGGCGAAAAGAACCCCGGCGAGGGGAGUGAAAAAGAACCUGAAACCGUGUACGUACAAGCAGUGGGAGCACCUUCGGGUGUGACUGCGUACCUUUUGUAUAAUGGGUCAGCGACUUAUAUUCUGUAGCAAGGUUAACCGUAUAGGGGAGCCGCAGGGAAACCGAGUCUUAACUGGGCGUUAAGUUGCAGGGUAUAGACCCGAAACCCGGUGAUCUAGCCAUGGGCAGGUUGAAGGUUGGGUAACACUAACUGGAGGACCGAACCGACUAAUGUUGAAAAAUUAGCGGAUGACUUGUGGCUGGGGGUGAAAGGCCAAUCAAACCGGGAGAUAGCUGGUUCUCCCCGAAAGCUAUUUAGGUAGCGCCUCGUGAACUCAUCUUCGGGGGUAGAGCACUGUUUCGGCUAGGGGGUCAUCCCGACUUACCAACCCGAUGCAAACUACGAAUACCGAAGAAUGUUAUCACGGGAGACACACGGCGGGUGCUAACGUCCGUCGUGAAGAGGGAAACAACCCAGACCGCCAGCUAAGGUCCCAAAGUCAUGGUUAAGUGGGAAACGAUGUGGGAAGGCACAGACAGCCAGGAUGUUGGCUUAGAAGCAGCCAUCAUUUAAAGAAAGCGUAAUAGCUCACUGGUCGAGUCGGCCUGCGCGGAAGAUGUAACGGGGCUAAACCAUGCACCGAAGCUGCGGCAGCGACACUAUGUGUUGUUGGGUAGGGGAGCGUUCUGUAAGCCUGCGAAGGUGUGCUGUGAGGCAUGCUGGAGGUAUCAGAAGUGCGAAUGCUGACAUAAGUAACGAUAAAGCGGGUGAAAAGCCCGCUCGCCGGAAGACCAAGGGUUCCUGUCCAACGUUAAUCGGGGCAGGGUGAGUCGACCCCUAAGGCGAGGCCGAAAGGCGUAGUCGAUGGGAAACAGGUUAAUAUUCCUGUACUUGGUGUUACUGCGAAGGGGGGACGGAGAAGGCUAUGUUAGCCGGGCGACGGUUGUCCCGGUUUAAGCAUGUAGGCUGGUUAUCCAGGCAAAUCCGGAUAAUCAAGGCUGAGGUGUGAUGACGAGGCACUACGGUGCUGAAGUAACAAAUGCCCUGCUUCCAGGAAAAGCCUCUAAGCAUCAGGUAACAUCAAAUCGUACCCCAAACCGACACAGGUGGUCAGGUAGAGAAUACCAAGGCGCUUGAGAGAACUCGGGUGAAGGAACUAGGCAAAAUGGUGCCGUAACUUCGGGAGAAGGCACGCUGGUGUGUAGGUGAAGUCCCUGCGGAUGGAGCUGAGACCAGUCGAAGAUACCAGCUGGCUGCAACUGUUUAUUAAAAACACAGCACUGUGCAAACACGAAAGUGGACGUAUACGGUGUGACGCCUGCCCGGUGCCGGAAGGUUAAUUGAUGGGGUUAUCCGUAAGGAGAAGCUCUUGAUCGAAGCCCCGGUAAACGGCGGCCGUAACUAUAACGGUCCUAAGGUAGCGAAAUUCCUUGUCGGGUAAGUUCCGACCUGCACGAAUGGCGUAAUGAUGGCCAGGCUGUCUCCACCCGAGACUCAGUGAAAUUGAACUCGCUGUGAAGAUGCAGUGUACCCGCGGCAAGACGGAAAGACCCCGUGAACCUUUACUAUAGCUUGACACUGAACAUUGAGCCUUGAUGUGUAGGAUAGGUGGGAGGCUUUGAAGCGUGGACGCCAGUCUGCGUGGAGCCAACCUUGAAAUACCACCCUUUAAUGUUUGAUGUUCUAACGUUGGCCCCUUACCGGGGUUGCGGACAGUGUCUGGUGGGUAGUUUGACUGGGGCGGUCUCCUCCCAAAGCGUAACGGAGGAGCACGAAGGUUAGCUAAUCCUGGUCGGACAUCAGGAGGUUAGUGCAAUGGCAUAAGCUAGCUUGACUGCGAGCGUGACGGCGCGAGCAGGUGCGAAAGCAGGUCAUAGUGAUCCGGUGGUUCUGAAUGGAAGGGCCAUCGCUCAACGGAUAAAAGGUACUCCGGGGAUAACAGGCUGAUACCGCCCAAGAGUUCAUAUCGACGGCGGUGUUUGGCACCUCGAUGUCGGCUCAUCACAUCCUGGGGCUGAAGUAGGUCCCAAGGGUAUGGCUGUUCGCCAUUUAAAGUGGUACGCGAGCUGGGUUUAGAACGUCGUGAGACAGUUCGGUCCCUAUCUGCCGUGGGCGCUGGAGAAUUGAGGGGGGCUGCUCCUAGUACGAGAGGACCGGAGUGGACGCAUCACUGGUGUUCGGGUUGUCAUGCCAAUGGCACUGCCCGGUAGCUAAAUGCGGAAGAGAUAAGUGCUGAAAGCAUCUAAGCACGAAACUUGCCCCGAGAUGAGUUCU